Molecule: ribosomal RNA, 304 nt
Filed under: uncultured bacterium
Lineage: Bacteria
Description: partial 16S ribosomal RNA
Rfam family: Bacterial small subunit ribosomal RNA
Source: RNAcentral
CAGCAGCCGCCGCGGGAAUACGAAGGGUGCAAGCGUUACUCGGAAUUACUGGGCGUAAAGCGUGCGUAGGUGGUGGUUUAAGUCCGUUGUGAAAGCCCUGGGCUCAACCUGGGAAUUGCAGUGGAUACUGGGUCACUAGAGUGUGGUAGAGGAUAGUGGAAUUUCCGGUGUAGCAGUGAAAUGCGUAGAGAUCGGAAGGAACAUCUGUGGCGAAGGCGACUAUCUGGGCCAACACUGACACUGAGGCACGAAAGCGUGGGGAGCAAACAGGAUUAGAGACCCCUGUAGUCCCUGUCUCUUAUAC